This 5540-nucleotide long non-coding RNA is filed under the name Sus scrofa (pig). RNAcentral's name for it is "lncRNA (ENSSSCG00000059651.1)". The record is from RNAcentral. Lineage: Eukaryota; Metazoa; Chordata; Mammalia; Artiodactyla; Suidae.
UCAUGUUGUUCAGUCUCCAUGUGUUUGUGUCUUUUGCAGCUUUUUUCUUGUUGUCGAUUUCCAGUUGCAUAGUGUUGUGGAUGGAAAAGAUGCUUGAUAUGAUUUCAAUUUUCGUAAAGUUACCGAGGCUUGAUUUGUGGCCCAGCAUGUGAUCCAUCCUAGAGAAGGUUUCGUGUGCACUUGAGAAGAAUGUGUAUUCUGCUGCUUUUGGGUGGAAUGUCCUAUAACUAUCUAUGAAGUCCAUUUGGUCUAAUGCUUCACUUGGGGCCUGUGUUUCCCUCUUGGUUUUCUGUCUGGAAGAUCUGUCCACUGCUGUAAGUGGGGGGUUAAGAUCUCCUGCUAUUUUUGUGUUACUGUCAAUUUCUCCUUUUAGGGCUGUUAGCAGUUGCCUUAUAUAUUGGGUUGUUCCUCCUUGGGUUUAUUUUAUAUGGUACUCACUGUGCUUCUAGGAUUUGAGUGAGUGGUUCCUUUGCCAUGUUAGGGAACUUUUUGGCUACUGUCUCUUCAAAUAUUUUUUGCUGUCUCUUUCUCCCUCUUUUCUCCUUCUGGCACCCCCAUUAUAUGGAUGUUGGUGCAUUUAAUGCUGUCCCAGAGUUCUCUGAGACUGUCUCCAUUCCUUUUCAAUCUUUUUUCUCUUUUCUGUUCCGCAUCAGUGAUUUCCACUAGUCUGUCCUCCACCUCCCUUAUUCACCCUUCUGCCUCCUGUAUUCUGCUGAUGGUUUCUUGUCAUGACUGGUUUAUUUCAGUUAUUGUAUUCUGCAUCUCUGCUUGCUUAAGUUUUAAAUCUUGUAUGUCUUCACUCAGUGUGCUCUGUAACUUAUCAACCCUUGCCUCCAGUUUAUUUCCAUUGUCUUGCAUCAUCUUCAGCAUCACCAGUUUAAAGUCUUUUUCCUGGAAGCUGAGAAUCUCCAGAUCACUUAGCUGUUUUCAUGGGGUUUUUUCUGGUUCCCCUGUCUGAGUUAUGCGUUCUCUGCCUUUUCAUUUUUUCUGAUUUUUGGUGUGCUCUCCAUUUUGCAGAAAAUAAGAGUUGUAGCCUCUCUUACCUCUGGUAUCUGCCUCCCUUUGUGGCUGAAUUUGGUAUGGGGGCUUGCUGUAGGCUUCCUGCUGGGAGGGACUGGUGCCUGCCUACUGGCAGGUGGGGCUGAUUCCUGUCUCUCUGGUGGGUGGGGCUUUGCCUCUGGGUGAGAUUAGAGGUGGGGUGUGUUCCUGGGGGGCCUUUAGGCAGCCUGUUUACUGAUGGGUGGGCUCUGGUCCUACCUGGAUUAUUGUUUGGCCUGGGGCUUCUCAGCCCUGAUGGGUGGGACCAGAUUGUCCCAAAAUGGCCACGUCUAGAGGAACACACGCUGAUGAACAGUCCUGAGACCUUUGCCUCCAAUGUCCUCCCCUGACGACAAGCCACGGUCACCCCCUCUUUUCCCAGGAGAUCCUCUAAGAACUGCCAUCAGUUCUGACCCAGAUUCCCACGGAGCCUAUGCUUUUCCCUGGGACCCAGUGCACAUGAAAGCCUGUGGGAGCCUUUCAGGAAUGGAGUCUCCAUUCCUCCCAGUCCUGUGGAGUUCCUGCACACAAGCCCCACUGGCUUUCAAGGCUGGAUGCUCUGGGAGCUCUCCCUCCCAAUCCCAAAUCCUCAGGCAUGGGAACUUGACGUGGGGCUCGGAACUCUCACUCCUGUAGGUGAGGCUGUGUGAUACAGUUACUUUCCCAUCUGUGGGCUUCCCUCCUGGCAGGUAUUGAGUUGCUUAUGUUACAUAAUUGCCCCUCCCACUGUCCUGAUCUGGACGCUUCUUUGUCUUCUGGAGUAGGAUUAUCUUUUUGAAAGUUUGCAGUCCAUGUGGUUGAAGGUUCUUCAGCAUUUGGUUGUAUUUUGUUUUUAUGAGAAGAGGUGAGCUCUAGUCCUUCUAUUCUGCCAUCUCUAUCCUGUCUCAAGAAUAAUUUUGAUUAAAUUAGUAAAGAGCAUUAUUAAAACCUAAUGAAGUACAAUAAAGUACACAUUAAGAAGUAUCCACCGAAAAACCAAAAUUAAUAUAAAAAUGAAAUGAAAGGGAGCCAAAAUAAUGAUCAGAGAAACAAGGAUGGAAGUCAAAGUCCAAGAAAAUCCACCAUGCAUAUAAUUAAAGUUUGUGAAGAAUAAGGUAAAUAAAUGAAGGAGACCUAAUCAUCAAGACCACAAUCCAUGAAAACUUCCCCCGAAUAAAGGAAAGCAUGAACCUCUAUAAUGACAGUAACCAUAUGCAACUGGGUCAACUGAUUCACCUCCAUCAAUUUUUAGGCCCACCUAUGUAAGUUAAUAGACUUUAACAUGGCAUGAGACAGAAUUACCCAAGGUCUGCUAUUAAAUAUCAUAGUUCAAUGUGUUUUAAUAUCAUAAAACGAAGUUUUUGUAUUUUUGGUUAUAUUUCUUAAAUUUUGUCCUUUACUUUUCAGAUAAUUUAAUAUAAUUCAUCUUUGUAAAACAAGAACUGGAGGGUGUAAACACUGAAACAAUAUCAGUGUAUAAUUUUCUUAGUUUUUUGAAUAAGUUUUUUUCUCUGUGCCCCAUUGUUGAGACUGUGUAUAUAUUGAAUUUUAGAACUCCAACAAAAAAAUUCAGUGAUUUCCAAGGAAUUUAAUUUUAAAGUGAAUUAUUUAAUCUAUAUCUUAAAAUAUUGUCUAAAUAUCAAAUGUUUGAAGAAAAUUUUUUAAAAAUUUUGUUGUGUUUAUUUUUAUAUGUAUUUUGUAGUUUAUUCAUACUCUAAUGUUACAACUAGUCUUUAAAAGGACUAAUUUUAUUAGUAAAAUUAUUUAUCUUUAUCUUUUGAUUAAAAGCAAAAUUUCCAAUGCAUAUUCAAUAGCACUGAUGUAAUGAUGUAAAUAUAUAUACUUUAGUGGAAUUAUUGAGUUAUGAAAUUUAUUUGACUCAUUAUAGUUUUCAGUUAUUAGAAUAAUAAAAAAAUAAAUCAAUACAUUUGUGCUUUAGGAAUUACUGAAAUGAAACUUUCUGCCAUUGAAUUAUAUCUUUCAAAGGACUAUAAUCUCAAUUUUGAUGAGCUUCUCUUUUAUCCUAGUAAUUGGCAUUUAUGCACAUUGCAUUCAUAUUAAACUUUUCAUGUCAGAAAGUAAGGCUGGCUGCUGAAUUAGAGGCUUUUCAAAAGUAAAGCUUCUGCUCUUUUAGUUUAUGAUAUGUGAAUGUCAAUGAAUAUCCCAUCAAAUACCACCCUUUGAUGGUGUUAAUCUAUAUGUUAAUAGUUUCUCUAUUUUCUCUGAUAUCUUGGCCUAUUCAUCUAUUUAAUACCUUGUAUUUUUACAGUGUAUAUUGUUUAAAAAGAAAAUCUGCCAGUCAUUGAAGAGGACAGCAUCCUUUUUGAUAAAAGAGAAAUUAUAUUUUGUAAAACUUGUGUUUAAAUUCUGUUAAUGUAUUCAGAUUAGGUUAAAAGUUCCUUUGAAAGAGUAUUUUCUAUAAUAGAAAGAUUUAAAAAAAUUGCAAACAGAUCAUGACAGGGCAAUAAGGGAAAAGGAGGUACUUGGUAUAAACUUCUGCUCAGGAACCCAGUAUAAGGGUUUCUGUUUUUUAAUACGCAAAGAAGGAACCAAGCUCAGAGAUUGUAGAUAAUAUGUGUAGAUAGCUGACUAUACUGAAUUUAGUUUUAUAUCCAGAAUAUUAAAGCUUCAGGAAUUGUCCAAAAUUCCUUCACAUGUGAACAGAUGGAUAAAUAAGAAAUAAAGUGGCAAAGAGAAUUGCUGAGCUAUUAGGAAGAAUCAUCUCUUCCUGGGAACUUAUAAUGUAAUAAAUACAACUAAGAAGAAAAUGAGGCAUAAGAAAAUGAAUUAAGCCACAAAGACUUAUUACUAAUCAAAUCAUGUUACCUUUGAAGUAAGUGACAUAGUCUAUAAAAUAGAGUGCCUGAGCACAAUCUAUACUUCAUUUCUAUCUAUGCUCUUUUAAAUCAACUAGUUUCAAACUUCCUAGGUCUCAGUUUCCUCAUCUGUAUAAUGAGGAUAAUAAAUGUCUGUGGAAUGAGCUAUUGAAGUAUGUGAAGUCUAAGUGAGAUGCCAUGGGCUGGGUCACUGGGAUAGAAUCUGUUUUGUGGGUGCUGAUACACAAAUCAACUUUAUCAGAGGAGUGAGAUUGAGCACUCAUGAACUCAAGAGACAGGGAAAAACUGGGUCCCUGGGUGUACUUUUCUGUGUCUUUGGUCUCUAGAACAAUGUUGUAUGUCUGCUUGGGUGUUGUUAGCCUUGGAGACACUCAUAAAUGAAAUUUAGGAAGAAAGUAACGUUUAUGUUUUUUCCUUACCUUACAAGCUGUUAGCACUCUGCCUUCUAUGUCCCCUCCUUAAUGCAAGUCCUAAGUGUAACCACUUUGUCCAUCCAGACCAUUGCACCAGAGAUCCACUGCUUCUCCUUUUGCAGGUUUAUCACUUUCAGCUAGAGGAGGCCAUGGCCCAUCUAUUUACUUUCAAUUUAAUGUCCACAGUGCAAACAGACUGAGGAUGAUCUAAGAGAGCAAAUCAUAAGGCCUCCUCUCUGACAGACUAUACGCACAGGCUAGUGAAUGCAGACACUUAGGUACAUGAUACACAUGUUAGGCCAGUUCUUAAUAUAAGUGAAAGGUGGGGGGUAAAACAAUGGAAAAUUCUCAGCAGCCCCUCAACUCUCACUUGUGUUCCCUCCUUAGGUCAAAUUCCUGAGAGAGAAGUUCUAUUCAUACUCAUCGCACCAUUUUACUUUUCUGCCUCUCUCAUUUUAUUUUUUCCCCCAUAUUUUCAUUAUCCAGAAAAGGAGCAGUUAUCCCUUUACUUCUCCAAGACAUAACACUCAUAGUGUCUUAGAGUAAUCUAAGUGACGUAUGUGAAAUGAGUUUAUCCUCCACACUACAGGAGAAUUCUAGCUGGGUUCUCAAAACCCUUAACCCACUAAGAGGAGAGAGGAAAAAAAAAAUAAUUUGAAUAUUUAUUCUCAAAAUUUUUUUUUUCAAAAACUCUGUUCUUGGUAGAUAAUUCUUUUCUUACAUUCCAGAAACUUUUAUUACCUGUGCGUUUGUUGUUGAUAUUAUUUUUUUAUCUCUUUUCAAGGAGAUAGAAGCUUUGAGUGAAUUAGAGUAAAGAUGGCAGGUAAACAAAAAUGAACAACAUAGCUUUUCAAAAUAGCAUUCACUGUUACCUACCUAUUCCCUUAAUCAUGAAAAACCUUAACUGUUUCCUCUUUUUCCUAUUCAAACAAGGUUAGAAUGAAUAGCCUUCUCUGUAUAUGUGAUAUUUUCUUUAAGGCAAACAAUGAGUAAUGGAAUUAUAGGAUCUGAGUGCAUUUAAAAUUUGUACUCCUGGAGUUCCCAUCGUGGCGCAGUAGUUGGCGAAUCCGACUAGGAACCAUGAGGUUGCGGGUUCCAUCCCUGCCCUUGCUCAGUGGGUUGAGGAUCUGGCGUUGCUGUGAGCUGUGGUGUAGGUCACAGAUGCGGCUCGGAUCCUGCGUUGCUGUGGCUCUGGCGCAGGCUGACGGCUAUAGCUCCGAUUCAACCCCUAGCCUGGGAAUCUCCAUAUGCCAUUGGAGUGGCCCAAGAAAUG